RNAcentral lists this ribosomal RNA (290 nucleotides) under uncultured bacterium. RNAcentral describes it as "partial 16S ribosomal RNA". It matches the Rfam family "Bacterial small subunit ribosomal RNA", at positions 29 to 334 of the family's 1533-position model. The record is from RNAcentral.
AACGAACGCUGGCGGCACGCCUAACACAUGCAAGUCGAACGGUAACAGGGACUUCGGUCCGCUGACGAGUGGCGAACGGGUGAGUAACACGUGGAGACCUGCCCUAGGGUACGGGACAACAGUUAGAAAUGACUGCUAAUACCGUAUACGUCCUACGGGAGAAAGAUUUAUUGCCCUUGGAGGGGUCCGCGUCGGAUUAGCUAGUUGGUAAGGUAACGGCUUACCAAGGCGACGAUCCGUAGCUGUUCUUAGAGGAAGAUCAGCCACACUGGGACUGAGACACGGCCCAG